UUCACGGACCUACUUUUCUUACUGUUUCUCUGAACACCAGAAGAAAAAAGAAAUUGAGAAAGAAACAACGAUUUACUGCAGUGAAGUAAAGGAAAAGGAAAAGGUUAAAAGCUUUGCAAUCCCCAACUUCCGUCACACCUGUCGACCUUUCUGAUGGUUUUGCUUCGAGAUGGGAAAACCAAAAUAACAAAGAGGUUGACGAGGUCUGCCCGAGUGGCCAUGCAAUGCAAUUU
Molecule: unclassified non-coding RNA, 233 nt
Filed under: Hevea brasiliensis (rubber tree)
Lineage: Eukaryota; Viridiplantae; Streptophyta; Magnoliopsida; Malpighiales; Euphorbiaceae
Source: RNAcentral